Molecule: non-coding RNA, 1889 nt
Organism: Megalopta genalis
Lineage: Eukaryota; Metazoa; Arthropoda; Insecta; Hymenoptera; Halictidae
Source: RefSeq, a predicted model, not a curated record
UUUUGUCCACAGCAGAUUGUUGUACAAACGUAUCGUGUGUGUAGGUAUUUUGCUAGCAUUCACGGUCGAUAUUUUCUUGGCAUAAAGAAGAUACAAGAGAUUAUUUUACAUAGCCUUGCAACCGUUACGAUUUUUUCGAUGACUUUUGAAAGAAACACGCUUGACGACAUGUACAAGAUAGAUAUGGUUCAACGUUAAUUAAACGUCGUGUUCUUACGCUACUUUACCGUUCGAUUAGAAAUUUAUUGUAAAUACGUGUGGAUGAAAACAACAUUAAAAGCGCGGUAAUUACAGUUGCGGUAGUUCGUGGACGCGCGUAUUCGUAACGUGCAACGCAAUAUCAUUCGAACAGGCUACAAUGUUGCACUGUUAACAAAUGUGUACAUGUUCGGCGCAAGAUGAAUUUCUUUAUACGUAUAUGUAUGUGUAUUUAACCAAUGAAAUCGGGACCCACAGGGAUUACUUGGAUUACGUAUAAGGAGAUGGAUAUAAAACGUGACAAUUUAAAUAUUUAAUGUUGCCACAUGUGUUGGUAUUUUAUAGUUAGAACAAGAAUACAAGAAAAACAUUUAUUUUAAUAAUUUGUAUAUUGGCAUCAAAAGUUGUAGUCUAUAAUGCGUUAUACAUUCUCGUAGCGUUCUAUGAGAAAACGGUGACGCCGAUGAAUAAAGCGAGAAUGUUUUUUUAAAUAAUUGUAGUAAUGAUUGUGAAUAAUGAACUUUCUAGUGUGUAACGAGAAUCUUUGAGCGUACGAGUUUUGUGGGAUACACUCCAUUGCAUCCUACGGAUAUGUAUAAUCGACCUGUCAUGGAACAAGGAACUUGUAAUAUAGUAGGGGAUUGCGUAUAAAAGAGAAGGAGCUAACACUAAAUGCUGUAAUUGUACCGCGACAAACUUAUGCAACGUUAACUGAUAAACGGUAAUACGAAAUAUAAUUACAAACUGUGUUUUGUUAGAUUUUCUAUUCGAUUCGCAACUGAUAUUAUCGAUUUUGAUUUUGAACGAGUUCGGAGACAAACGUGUACUGUACAUGCAGAGAAUUUGUUACCUGUAAGCUACAAGAACCGCGAACGGAACUAAAAUCAUUCCUAUCCAUACACGUGCAAGUGUAGAAAGUUGAUAUACUCGAUACAAAUACGUAUUCACACGAAACAACUUUUGGGUGCAAUUGGUGAACAAAAUAAAUGGUUCAUUGCGGGUUGCGGCAUAUGAUAUUAUUCCGUCUAUUCUGUCCAUUCGAUAUCAUUUGUUCAAUAUCAUUGUUAUAAUAGGAUUUCGGCGUGCCUCGUAACUACAGCUGACACUUAACGAUUAAUUAUUUAUCAACAAGUCGUCAUCGAUACGAUCACGGUUCUCGAAAUAAUAUUGGUUCUAAACAAUGUCCUGGAUAUCAUUCGUGAUGUCAACGAAGGAAAACGAAGGAGAACGACUCGCACACUCCGUCGUUGAGUAAUUGGUCGUUUUCGUAGAAAGAUUUCUAGAUUUUUGGAUUUGUAUGUUUGCAGAGAUUUGUAGAGUUUUGAAUUUGUUGAUUUACAGGUUGAUCGAUUUGUUCAAUCAUGACUAAUUUCGAUCUAAUUUUCAAGGAGUUAGUUGCAGCAGUCCAUACUCCAUACUCCAUACACCAUACAGCAUACAGCAUACUCCAUAUUCCAUAUUCCAUAUUCUAUAUUCCAUACUUCAUACUUCAUACUUCACAUACUCCAUCGGUGUAAAGAAAAAACAAUAUUUCAAAGGAAAUUACAUGAUAUUGCAGCAUUUAGUGACACGCCGUAGAAAAGAACAUGUUUCUCUAUUGAUUCGGUAUUAAAAAUCUACCUAAAUUUGAGUAUUAUUUGGAUUCCAGGAUGUACACAUGGUAAAUAAAAAGUUGCAUCGUCAACCCGCAA